UUCGACGGCAAGAGAGUUGUAGCAUGAAAAGACUCGUUUGGGUAACACUUGACCGUCAAAUGUCAAAACGACUGUCUCUGAAGCAACAUCUAAAGAUGAAAAUAAAUUCCUGCCAACCUUGGUGCUAGUAGUGUCCUUAUUUGUAUUUACUUUAUCCGAAGAGUUUAUGGUAGACUGAAUGUUAGACUUUGAAGGAGCUUGGGUGUCUUGUAUGUUCUCCUGACAAUCGCACGAAUAAUCCCCGCCUUCAUUUUUCCUUCUUUUUUUAUUACAUGUUUUGCAUCGUUUGUGACUCUGACUCUUAUUUCUUUUACGUUCACUCCUGCUACCUACAGAAGUGUCCGUGUCCAUGGCCGAAUCUAUUGUGACAUUACUUCCGACCUGGAGGUUUUCACCUCCAGGGUCGGGGGGGUCGUCGUCCCCCAU
This is a long non-coding RNA of Cydia strobilella, 426 nucleotides long. RefSeq lists it as uncharacterized. The record is from RefSeq and is a predicted model, not a curated record. The transcript is spliced from 2 exons. NCBI's taxonomy places the organism in Eukaryota, Metazoa, Arthropoda, Insecta, Lepidoptera, Tortricidae.